Molecule: long non-coding RNA, 517 nt
Organism: Acanthopagrus latus (yellowfin seabream)
Lineage: Eukaryota; Metazoa; Chordata; Actinopteri; Spariformes; Sparidae
Exons: 3
Source: RefSeq, a predicted model, not a curated record
UGAAUGGGUUGAGCCAGCGACCACAGUAAUUCAUGCCAAUUGUGUUUGUGUGAAGUUUACAAAGUCAUCUCCAAAAACAGUUGGAGGGGGAACACGACCCGGUAACACAAACAGAGAGCCGGUGUUACUCCCACACAUCUCCUCGCUCCGUUUGCUGUGUUUUAAGGAACAGUAGCUAAACCGUGAGGUUGUCUUGGCCCCCGUCUCCUGUUCACUCUGGUCCACUCAUAAAGCCUGCAUGUCUCGGACGCCUCUGUCAAACUCUACAAGCAGUGACAACUGGCACCUGUUGCAGCUAUUAAACACUCGAAGCCACGAGAAUCCUUGUUGGAUGUUAUGCAUGAUCAGUCCGAUCAAAGAGAAAUGUGUGGAAGGAAGCGUGGGUGAAGCAGACAGUGGGUGUGCUGGUGAUGGUAUGCGGAUCCUGCGACAGGUUGAUCUUGAGGAAAUGCCUAAAAGUUGGAGCACAGCAAGGCCAGAGGUCUGACAAAUGAAAGACAACUGUUGGUGACCAUGU